AUGUGCUUAUCUUCUAAGGUUUCUCUUGGACCCACUGAAUGGGGAAGAACGGUGCUCAUUAGAAAUUUUGUCCCCACUCUUCUGGCUUCCUGUGUUCGUCUGUUGACCUCGAUAGAAGACUAUAGCUCCGGAACAAGGAAAGGAGGUUCAGACAGAGUCCAAUCUACUGUGAGGCUGGAAUAAAUCAAGACAGCAGAAUUACUUCAUCAGACCUCUUCUACCCCCUGGCCUGUCUAAGAUUCUUUCUCCUGGAGGCCUCACUAUUUCAUCUGGCCCAGUGAGGUAAGGUGCUUUGCCGGGACACCCCCUCAUCCUGCUCGCCUCCCCUCAUCCUCGGAACCACACACACCUGUUCACUCUUCUAAAUCCCGCCCCUCCUCCCAACCCCUCAAUACCAUGGAGGAUUUUAAACAAAGUAGGUCUUUUAAUUGUUUGUUUACCAGAUGGAUGAGGAAGAUAGAAGAUAGAAGAAACAAGAUUUGAUAAUACGAUGUGCAUCUUAUGCUUGUGAAUUGUCUGCAUAAUGCUGAUGGAAUUUGCCUUGAGAAAAUUUCAUACUUCAUUGAACUGUAACAUUUGUAAUGUUAACCUAAAAAAAAAAUUUUUGUUUUUCCUCUAUAAAAUAAAGCUACCCAAUGUUGCUGAAUUUGUCAAAAGUCACUGGUAUUGUGCCUGCAUGCAAUACACUACAAAUUCCAAGCCGUAACCAAGGGUUUAAUUUUAUCACUGAAAUAAAGAACAGGUUAAAUACCUUUUGAGCAUUUAAUUCCCAACAUAAAGGAACUCCAGUUUUUCCGGCCAGUGAAUUAUAUCAACAACCACCACUAGGGGGUGCUUCGCCUCUUCUUAUUUGCAGUAAACACAAUACUAAAUUGAAAUCUCACACACUCCCUUUGUAUGUCCA
Molecule: long non-coding RNA, 904 nt
Filed under: Chinchilla lanigera (long-tailed chinchilla)
Lineage: Eukaryota; Metazoa; Chordata; Mammalia; Rodentia; Chinchillidae
Description: lncRNA (ENSCLAG00000022590.1)
Source: RNAcentral